UGAACUCGUGUCCAUAUAGUCAUCUUCGACGGGAGUCAUAGAAGACUUCGACCUUGAAGUGCUAUCAUCAUCGUCGUUAAUGAAGUCAUUAUUGGAUCGUGCUCGUGCCCGUGCCCUUAUCGACGAUCCAACAAUAGAAACAUCCUCAGGUUCAUAGUCGUCUCUUUGUAAUUGUCCUAUGUCAAUCGUAUCAUCUGGCACUAAUAUGUUAUCUGGUGCUUGCAUUUGAUAUGCUUCAUUUUCAAUAAUUACACGGACUUCAUUCUCUAGAUCUUCAUCGUUCGGGCAUGUGAAAAGUGC
RNAcentral lists this long non-coding RNA (300 nucleotides) under Elaeis guineensis (African oil palm). RNAcentral describes it as "long non-coding RNA (EGUI_LNC065784)". Lineage: Eukaryota; Viridiplantae; Streptophyta; Magnoliopsida; Arecales; Arecaceae. The record is from RNAcentral.